UACCAGCUCUCCGAGUAGUAGGGAUGAUUAUUGGGCUUAAAGCGUCCGUAGCCGGCUUGGCGAGUCUCCUGUUAAAUUCAGCGACCUAAUCGUUGACCCGCGGGAGAUACUACUAGGCUAGGAGGCGGGAGAGGCCGACGGUACUUCCGGGGUAGGGGUGAAAUCCUAUAAUCCCGGGAGGACCACCAGUGGCGAAGGCUGUCGGCUAGAACGCGCUCGACGGUGAGGGACGAAAGCUGGGGGAGCGAACCGGAUUAGAUACCCGGGUAGUCCCAGCUGUAAACGAUGCGAGCUAGGUGUUGGGGUGGCUACGUGCCACUUCAGUGCCGCAGGGAAGCCAUUAAGCUCGCCGCCUGGGGAGUACGGCCGCAAGGCUGAAACUUAAAGGGAUUGGCGGGGGAGCACCACAAGGCGUGAAGCUUGCGGUUC
Molecule: ribosomal RNA, 429 nt
Filed under: uncultured archaeon
Lineage: Archaea
Description: bacterial SSU rRNA
Rfam family: Archaeal small subunit ribosomal RNA
Source: RNAcentral